UAGCGUAUCGUUUGACGUUAGCGACAGAAGAAAGCACCGGCUAACUCCGUGCCAGCAGCCGCGGUAAUACGGAGGGUGCGAGCGUUAAUCGGAAUUACUGGGCGUAAAGCGCAUGCAGGUGGUUUGUUAAGUCAGAUGUGAAAGACCCGGGGCGUCAACCUCGGAAUAGCAUUUGAAACUAGGCAGACUAGAGUACUGUAGAGGGGGGUAGGAAUUUCAGGUGUAGCGGUGAAAUGCGUAGAGAUCUGAAGGAAUACCGGUGGCGAAGGCGGCCCCCUCGGACAGAUACUGACACUCAGAUGCGAAAGCGUGGGGAGCAAACAGGAUUAGAUACCCUGGUAG
Molecule: ribosomal RNA, 342 nt
Filed under: uncultured bacterium
Lineage: Bacteria
Description: bacterial SSU rRNA
Rfam family: Bacterial small subunit ribosomal RNA
Source: RNAcentral